Molecule: long non-coding RNA, 618 nt
Filed under: Homo sapiens (human)
Lineage: Eukaryota; Metazoa; Chordata; Mammalia; Primates; Hominidae
Description: HSALNT0351359
Source: RNAcentral
CUUGACCAAGGCUUCCAGAGAGAGUUGCCUGCAGGACCUCAGCAUCUGUUGCCCUGUGCCACUUCAGAUUUCUGCUCUCCCCAUUCUGGUGCAGCAUUCCUUGACCACCCCAGCUACAAUUCAAGCCAGCCUCAAUCCAGCUUGUGUCACUACUUUGGAAGGGAAAUCAGUCUGCAUUGUGCUUUUACACAUAAUCUUCUUGUUAUGACACCUGAGGAGCAAGAAGUGGAGAAUUCUUAAGCAAGGAGGUGGUCUUUGUUCUGCAUUUGGAAGGAGCUAAGCUUACUGCAGGUGUAAUGAAGGCAAGUGGAUGUCGGAAAGCGGUACAAACUUGUGUAAAAGUACGGAAGGAAAAGUGACAACUUGGUGUGCCUGGAGUGAAAGGUUUCUUUUUUGGAGAGAUUUACACCUCGCUAUCUUCUCUGGCUGGCUCAACCUGAAGGAUCCCAAUUUUGAAAGAAAAAGCAUGUGAUCAGCAUGGGAGUUUCGACCUGCUCCGUUUCCGACCUGGGCCAGUUCACCCCUCCUUAGGCAACCUGGUGGUCCCCGCUCCCAGGAGGUCACCAUAUUGAUGCCAAACUUAGUGCGGACACCCGAUACGCAUAGCACACUACAGCC